GUGGUAUUAGCUCAAUUGGUUAGAGCGCAGCUCUGUGAAAGCUGAGGUUACCGGUUCAAGUCCGGCAUACCACCCCA
RNAcentral lists this transfer RNA (77 nucleotides) under Candidatus Shapirobacteria bacterium. RNAcentral's name for it is "tRNA-His". It matches the Rfam family "tRNA". Rfam says of the family: Transfer RNA (tRNA) molecules are approximately 80 nucleotides in length. Their secondary structure includes four short double-helical elements and three loops (D, anti-codon, and T loops). The record is from RNAcentral. Lineage: Bacteria; Candidatus Shapironibacteriota.